CAGUCACAAGGAGUGGCACUAAAGUCCUAGCUCUCCAGGAUUUGACUGGAUACCCAUGUUCUCAAGAAGGUCAGUACUAAGGUGUAGAGUAUGGGUUCCGAUUCAGACACCAAUGGCUAAUUUCUGGCGAUCUCCAACAAGCCACAGAUCCUGUAUGAGCUUCAUUUACCUCAUCUGUAAAAUGACAUUUAGUUCCCACACUAUUUUGACAGAACAUUCGAGUUUCUUCCUCCAAACCUACCAACAAUCUGGAUGUCGAUGGAUGCGGU
Molecule: non-coding RNA, 269 nt
Organism: Marmota flaviventris (yellow-bellied marmot)
Lineage: Eukaryota; Metazoa; Chordata; Mammalia; Rodentia; Sciuridae
Source: RefSeq, a predicted model, not a curated record